AUGGAUGUUGAAGAUUUGCUGGAAACCCCCCUGCAGAAGAAGGAAAAACAGAGGGCACCCCUGUGGCCCAGCGUCAUCUGCGAGCUGCAGGCUGGGGUGAGGCUGCGCAAGGCCACCGAGCGACUGCAGCGCCCUGCCCCGCUCAACGAGCAUGCCCACUCCCCCUAUGAACGACUUCUGGAUGACAUUCAGCACAGGAGGUACAACCUUCGGAAGGUGAUCGUCGAGCAAAAAUGCAGGACCCCCUGUGAUGAUGUAGCUGCUCCCAAGCCUCAUCUAAAACCUGUGCUGCAGAGGAAGCUGGGAGAGUGCAUGCCACAGGAGUCCAGGUGGCACCAACAGCUCCUGGCAGAAACAGAACGGCCACAGACACCGCAGCCAUCCACAGCAAGGGAAAGCAGAGGCAGGCCCACAGAAAUGCCUGUGAUGCCUAAAAUCGCCUUGAGAUCUCCAAGUGAUCGUUUCUUAAUGUUUCAAGAUGCCAGUCCAGAGUUUAAAACUGUCAGUGCUGUAGCACAGCAGCUGGGACCAGAAGUUCAGGUAAGGCUUUAA
Molecule: long non-coding RNA, 552 nt
Filed under: Cairina moschata (Muscovy duck)
Lineage: Eukaryota; Metazoa; Chordata; Aves; Anseriformes; Anatidae
Description: domestica (muscovy Duck (domestic type)) lncRNA (ENSCMMG00000012012.1)
Source: RNAcentral